AGAAUCAACGCUGGCGGCGUGCCUAACACAUGCAAGUCGAACGAGAAAGUGGAGCAAUCCAUGAGUAAAGUGGCGACCGGGUGAGUAACACGUGACUAACCUACCUUCGAGUGGGGGAUAACCUCGGGAAACCGAGGCUAAUACCGCAUAACAUCGCAAGAUCAAAGCAGCAAUGCGCUGGAAGAGGGGGUCGCGGCUGAUUAGCUAGUUGGCGGGGUAACGGCCCACCAAGGCGAAGAUCGGUAGCCGGCCUGAGAGGGCGCACGGCCACACUGGAACUGAAACACGGUCCAGACUCCUACGGGAGGCAGCAGUGGGGAAUUUGCGCAAUGGGGGAAACCCUGACGCAGCAACGCCGCGUGGAGGAUGAAGCCCCUUGGGGCGUAAACUCCUUUCGACCAAGACGAUAAUGACGGUACUGGUGGAAGAAGCACCGGCUAACUCUGCGCCAGCAGCCGC
RNAcentral lists this ribosomal RNA (459 nucleotides) under uncultured bacterium. Its description in RNAcentral is "SSU rRNA". It matches the Rfam family "Bacterial small subunit ribosomal RNA", at positions 26 to 518 of the family's 1533-position model. The record is from RNAcentral.